This 71-nucleotide transfer RNA is filed under the name Spironucleus salmonicida. RNAcentral's name for it is "tRNA-Gly". It matches the Rfam family "tRNA". Rfam says of the family: Transfer RNA (tRNA) molecules are approximately 80 nucleotides in length. Their secondary structure includes four short double-helical elements and three loops (D, anti-codon, and T loops). Further hydrogen bonds mediate the characteristic L-shaped molecular structure. tRNAs have two regions of fundamental functional importance: the anti-codon, which is responsible for specific mRNA codon recognition, and the 3' end, to which the tRNAs corresponding amino acid is attached (by aminoacyl-tRNA synthetases). tRNAs cope with the degeneracy of the genetic code in two manners: having more than one tRNA (with a specific anti-codon) for a particular amino acid; and 'wobble' base-pairing, i.e. permitting non-standard base-pairing at the 3rd anti-codon position. Lineage: Eukaryota; Fornicata; Diplomonadida; Hexamitidae. The record is from Rfam by way of RNAcentral.
GCACUACUGGUUUAGUGGUAGAAUGGUAGCUUCCCAAGCUUUUGGUCCGGGUUCGAUUCCCGGGUAGUGCA